CCCUAUGGGGUGCAGCAGGCGGGCAUAUAAGUCAGUGGUGAAAUCUCCCGGCUCAACUGGGAAACUGCCAUUGAUACUGUAUGUCUAGAGUGCAGAUGAGGUAGGCGGAAUGUGUCAUGUAGCGGUGAAAUGCUUAGAUAUGACACAGAACACCGAUUGCGAAGGCAGCUUACCAAACUGUUACUGACGCUCAUGCACGAAAGCGUGGGGAGCGAACA
RNAcentral lists this ribosomal RNA (218 nucleotides) under uncultured prokaryote. RNAcentral describes it as "partial 16S ribosomal RNA". It matches the Rfam family "Bacterial small subunit ribosomal RNA", at positions 561 to 774 of the family's 1533-position model. The record is from RNAcentral.